AUUAGAGUUUGAUUAUGGCUCAGAACUAACGCUGGCGGCGUGCCUAACACAUGCAAGUCGUACGAGAAAGUUGGCUUCGGCUGAUGAGUAAAGUGGCGCACGGGUGAGUAACGCGUGGAUAAUCUGCCUUUUAGUUGGGAAUAACGUACCGAAAGGUGCGCUAAUACCGGAUAAUACUGAGCAACUACUGUUGCUUAGUCAAAGAAGGCCUCUGUUUACAAGCUUUUGCUGAAAGAUGAGUCCGCGUACCAUUAGCUAGUUGGUAGGGUAAUGGCCUACCAAGGCUACGAUGGUUAGCUGGUCUGAGAGGAUGAUCAGCCACACUGGAACUGAGACACGGUCCAGACUCCUACGGGAGGCAGCAGUGAGGAAUAUUGCGCAAUGGGGGCAACCCUGACGCAGCAACGCCGCGUGAGUGAGGAAGGUUUUCGGACCGUAAAGCUCUGUCGAGUGGGAAGAAAUGUAUCGUGGCUAAUAUCCAUGAUACUUGACGGUACCGCUAAAGGAAGCACCGGCUAACUCCGUGCCAGCAGCCGCGGUAAUACGGGGGGUGCGAGCGUUGUUCGGAAUUAUUGGGCGUAAGGAGCGUGUAGGCGGCUGAAUAAGUCAGAUGUGAAAUCCCUGGGCUUAACCCAGGAAGUGCAUUUGAAACUAUUCAGCUUGAGUAGGGGAGAGGAAAGUGGAAUUCCUGGUGUAGAGGUGAAAUUCGUAGAUAUCAGGAGGAACACCGGUGGCGAAGGCGACUUUCUGGCCCCUAUACUGACGCUGAGACGCGAGAGCCGUGGGGUAGCAAACAGGGAUUAGAUACCCCUGGGUAGUCCACGCUGUAAACGAUUGUUUCACUAGGUUGUUGGGGGGUUAUUGACCCCUUCUCAAGUGCCCGGCAACCUUAACGCCAUUUAAAGUGAAUCCGCCUGGGGGAGUACGGGUCGCAAGAUUAAAAACUCAAAGGAAUUGACGGGGGCCCGCACAAGCGGUGGAGCAUGUGGUUUAAUUUCGAUGCAACGCGAAGAACCUUACCUAGGCUUGACAUCCCAGGAAUUCUGUGGAAACACAGAAGUGCCUUUCGGGGAACCUGGAGACAGGUGCUGCAUGGCUGUCGUCAGCUCGUGUCGUGAGAUGUUGGGUUAAGUCCCGCAACGAGCGCAACCCUUAUGUUUAAUGGCCAGCAUUCAGUUGGGCACUUUAAAGAGACUGCCGGUGUUAAACAAAAAGAAGGUGGGGAUGACGUCAAGUCCUCAUGGCCUUUAUGCUUAGGGCUACACACGUGCUACAAUGGGUGGUACAAAGAGAAGCCAACUCGCGAGGGCGCGCCAAUCUCAAAAAGCCAUCCUCAGUUCGGAUUGGAGUCUGCAACUCGACUCCAUGAAGUUGGAAUCGCUAGUAAUCGCGGAUCAGCAUGCCGCGGUGAAUACGUUCCCGGGCCUUGUACACCUCUUUGGAAAACACCCGGAAAAUUGAUUGCACCAGAAGUCGUUGGGCUAACUUCUAUUUAUAGAGGAGGCAGGCGCCGACGUAUGUUAGUAAUUUGGGUGAAGUCGUAACAAGGUAGCCGUUUUGUACCUGUGGCUGGAUCACCUCCUUUAUGAAU
RNAcentral lists this ribosomal RNA (1591 nucleotides) under uncultured bacterium. RNAcentral describes it as "bacterial SSU rRNA". It matches the Rfam family "Bacterial small subunit ribosomal RNA". The record is from RNAcentral.